This 497-nucleotide ribosomal RNA is filed under the name uncultured bacterium. Its description in RNAcentral is "partial 16S ribosomal RNA". It matches the Rfam family "Bacterial small subunit ribosomal RNA", at positions 35 to 507 of the family's 1533-position model. The record is from RNAcentral.
GGGGGGGGCGGGGGGGGGGCCUGAGACGGGCGAGUCGGGCGGGGGGGCGGGGGGCUUGCUCCUCUGACGUUGGCGGCGGCCGGGUGAGUGACGCGUGGCUAACCUACCUAUAAUACUGGGAUAACUUCGGUCAACCGGAGCUCAUACCGGAUAAUCUAUUGAACCUCAUUGUUCACUCGUUAAAGAUGGUUUUGCUGUCACUUAUAGCUGUAUCCGCGCCGAAGUAGCUAGUUUGUAAGGUAACGGCUUACCAAGGCCACGAUGCGUAGCCGACCUGAGAGGGUGAUCGGACACACUGGAACUGAGACACGGUCCAGACUCCUAAGGGAGGCAGCAGAAGGGAAUCUGCCGCAAUGGGCGAAAGGGUGACGGAGCAACGCCGCGUGAGUGAUGAAGGUCUUCGGAUCGUAAAACUCUGUUAUUAGGGAAGAACAAAUGUGGAAGUAACUAGGCACGUCGUGACGGUAAAGAAGCAGAAAACCACGGAUAACUACGUG